RNAcentral lists this ribosomal RNA (245 nucleotides) under uncultured bacterium. RNAcentral describes it as "partial 16S ribosomal RNA". It matches the Rfam family "Bacterial small subunit ribosomal RNA", at positions 333 to 595 of the family's 1533-position model. The record is from RNAcentral.
UGUAACCUACGGGGGGCAGCAGUGGGGGAUAUUGCACAAUGGGCGCAAGCCUGAUGCAGCGACGCCGCGUGAGCGAAGAAGUAUUUCGGUAUGUAAAGCUCUAUCAGCAGGGAAGAAAAUGACGGUACCUUACUAAGAAGCUCCGGCUUAAUAAGUGCCAGCAGCCGCGGUAAUACGUAUGGAGCACGCGUUAUCCGGAAUUACUGGGUGUAAAGGGAGCGUAGGCGGCAAGGCAAGUCUGAUGU